This is a long non-coding RNA of Carassius auratus (goldfish), 839 nucleotides long. RefSeq lists it as uncharacterized. The transcript has 3 exons. The record is from RefSeq and is a predicted model, not a curated record. NCBI's taxonomy places the organism in Eukaryota, Metazoa, Chordata, Actinopteri, Cypriniformes, Cyprinidae.
CGCUGGAUCUGUUUCUCUGUCCGAGUGUGACCCCGCCUCACGUCCCAGUGUCUGCAUCAGAACGGCCUGCUGACCUACUCCAGCGGAGACACCUGGAUCGACAACUGCCAGCGCUGCCAGUGUCUGCAAGGUGAGGUGGACUGCUGGCCUCUGUCCUGCCCGCCGGUGGACUGUGACUUCACACUGGUGCCCGAGGGCGAGUGCUGCCCACGCUGUGUCUCGGACCCGUGCCAGGCUCACGCUGUCCGCAACGACAUCACCAAGACCUGCGAGGACGAGCACGGCAUCACCCGCUUCAGCGGCUCGUCCUGGGUCAAACACGGCACCGACUGCACACUGUGCCAGUGCAAGAACGGACACAUCUGUUGCUCAGUGGAUCCCAUGUGUCUUUAGUCUCCUCGCUCGACACUAACAGCACCUGUACAGUCUCACGCGACCGCCCCUUCACAACCUCCCCCAAAUAAUGCCAAAUAUGAAUGGUGUAUAAUAUCAGACAGACGCCAGUGAACCUGAGGAGGCCAUUUCUGCACAAACGAGGACUAUUAACCCAUCGAAACACGACCACGCACACGCCGGCAUGACCACACUGGAUGUGUAAAGAAUAAAACAUUCGCUCAUUUUUAUCUCUUCAAACCAUCACAGGAUGUAGAAAUUUUAGCUAGUAAGUAAAUCUGAUUGUAUUUCUCUUUUGCCUGGUUAUGGAAGUCGAUGCUAUUUGUUGGUGUUUUCACCGCACUUUUUUCGAUUAGCUUUUUGUGUCUGUUUUUCUGUCUAGAUUUUAAAUUAUUAUAUGGCUUGUUCUUGUCUGAUGGUGAAUAAAAUAUCUCCAUUUCCAUUUA